AGUGAACGCCGGCGGUAGGCCUACCACAUGCAAGUCGACCGGCAGCACAGUAAGAGCUUGCUCUUACCGGUGGCGCCUGGCGGACGGGUGAUGAGUACAUCGCAGUCUCCUUUUUCGCGGGGGAUAACGCAGGGAAACGUCCGCUCCUACCGCAUACGACCUACGGGUGAAAGCAUGGGAUCUUCGGAUCUUGCCCGGUUGAAUGAGCCGAUGUCGGAUUAGCUAGUUGUCGGGGUAAAGGCCCACCACGGCGACGAUCCGUAGCUGGUCUGAGAGGAUGAUCAGCCACACUGGAACUGAGACACGGUGCAGACUCCUACGGGAGGCAGCAGUGGGGAAUAUUGGACAAAGGGCGCAAGCCUGAUCCAGCCCUACCGCGUGGGUGAAGAAGGCCUUCGGGUUGUAAAGCCCUUUUGUUGGGAAAGAAAAGCAGCAGGUUAAUACCCCGCUGUUCUGACGGUACCCAAAGAAUAAGCACCGGCUAACUUCGGG
Molecule: ribosomal RNA, 492 nt
Filed under: uncultured bacterium
Lineage: Bacteria
Description: partial 16S ribosomal RNA
Rfam family: Bacterial small subunit ribosomal RNA
Source: RNAcentral